AGAGUUUGAUCAUGGCUCAGGAUGAACGCUAGCUACAGGCUUAACACAUGCAAGUCGAGGGGAAACGACAUCGAAAGCUUGCUUUUGAUGGGCGUCGACCGGCGCACGGGUGAGUAACGCGUAUCCAACCUGCCCAUCACUUGGGGAUAACCUUGCGAAAGUAAGACUAAUACCCAAUGACGUCUCUAGAAGACAUCUGAAAGAGAUUAAAAGAUUUAUCGGUGAUGGAUGGGGAUGCGUCUGAUUAGCUUGUUGGCGGGGUAACGGCCACCAAGGCGACGAUCAGUAGGGGUUCUGAGAGGAAGGUCCCCCANAUUGGAACUGAGACACGGUCCAAAACUCCUACGGGAGGCA
This 354-nucleotide ribosomal RNA is filed under the name uncultured bacterium. Its description in RNAcentral is "bacterial SSU rRNA". It matches the Rfam family "Bacterial small subunit ribosomal RNA", at positions 8 to 350 of the family's 1533-position model. The record is from RNAcentral.